GACGGCCACAAAAAUACAAUUUUGAUAGGUAUUACAAAUAUUACAAGCUCUCCCCGGGAGGCGGGCGCUCGGCCGGGCCGGGCGGGCCGCGUCGGAUCGGGUCGGACCGGGUCGGACCGGGUCGGACUAGGUCGGACCGGGUCGGACCGACCAGCCUGGGCCAGCCUGGGCCAGCCGGGCCGGCCGGGCCGGACCGGACCCCGCGCCUCACGAGAAUGCAAUACUAAAUAAAUUCUGUCAAUUCUUUUCUUAACUAGAAAAUGAUUUACAAAAUUUCAAGUAUAAAAAUAUAAAAUAAAUG
This is a long non-coding RNA of Cydia splendana, 301 nucleotides long. RefSeq lists it as uncharacterized. The transcript has 2 exons. The record is from RefSeq and is a predicted model, not a curated record. NCBI's taxonomy places the organism in Eukaryota, Metazoa, Arthropoda, Insecta, Lepidoptera, Tortricidae.